GACGAACGCUGGCGGCGUGCUUAACACAUGCAAGUCGAACGGAAAGGCCCUGCUUUUGUGGGGUGCUCGAGUGGCGAACGGGUGAGUAACACGUGAGUAACCUGCCCUUGACUUUGGGAUAACUUCAGGAAACUGGGGCUAAUACCGGAUAGGAGCUCCUGCUGCAUGGUGGGGGUUGGAAAGUUUCGGCGGUUGGGGAUGGACUCGCGGCUUAUCAGCUUGUUGGUGGGGUAGUGGCUUACCAAGGCUUUGACGGGUAGCCGGCCUGAGAGGGUGACCGGCCCCAUUUGGCCUGGACUUCGGCCCCGACCUCCUCCGGACGCCAGCGUGGGGUAUUUUGUACCAUUGGCCGGAGCCUUGUUCCGCCAAGCCCCGUUGCGGAUGACGGCCUUCGGGUUGUAAACCGCUUUCGCCUGUGACGAAGCGUGAGUGACGGUAAUGGGUAAAGAAGCACCGGCUAACUACGUG
This 468-nucleotide ribosomal RNA is filed under the name uncultured bacterium. Its description in RNAcentral is "partial 16S ribosomal RNA". It matches the Rfam family "Bacterial small subunit ribosomal RNA", at positions 28 to 507 of the family's 1533-position model. The record is from RNAcentral.